Long non-coding RNA from Gallus gallus (chicken), 457 nucleotides. RefSeq lists it as uncharacterized. The transcript has 4 exons. Lineage: Eukaryota; Metazoa; Chordata; Aves; Galliformes; Phasianidae. The record is from RefSeq and is a predicted model, not a curated record.
CUCGGCUAUCACCUCUGCCAGUUCCCUUAGCACUCUCGGGAGGUUUUCUCCUGGAGCCUCAAGAAUAGCUCCCUAUUCAUCCACGCCAGUCUUCUUCCGUACCGGCUCAUUUUGCAGCUCAGGGAGACAACCUGCUCCUGCGCCUUCCCUCUUGAAGAGCAACCAGCCAUCUUGGAUCCCUUUACUCUCUAAGACUGAAUCCCAGGAGACUCCCCCUACUAGUCUUCUGAACAAUUCCAAGUCCACCCUCCAGAAAUCCAAGGUAUUUGUUUCCUGGGAGUAAUUAUCCACAAAUCUGCCAAAACUGUGGAAAGUGAGAAUGUUCUGAUGCUUCAAGUGUGCACUUGCAUCCCAGAAGGCCAAUCGUAUCCUUGUUUCCAUCAGAAGAUGCAUACCCGGCAGAGUGAGGAAGUUGAUUGUUCCCCUCUAUUCUGCCCUUGUGAGGCCCCGUCUAGAG